This 394-nucleotide ribosomal RNA is filed under the name uncultured bacterium. Its description in RNAcentral is "bacterial SSU rRNA". It matches the Rfam family "Bacterial small subunit ribosomal RNA", at positions 505 to 898 of the family's 1533-position model. The record is from RNAcentral.
GUGUCAGCCGCCGCGGUAAUACGGAGGGAGCUAGCGUUGUUCGGAAUUACUGGGCGUAAAGAGUACGUAGGCGGUUUUUUAAGUCAGAGGUGAAAUCCCGGAGCUCAACUCCGGAACUGCCUUUGAAACUGGAAAGCUAGAAUCAUGGAGAGGUUAGUGGAAUUCCGAGUGUAGAGGUGAAAUUCGUAGAUAUUCGGAAGAACACCAGUGGCGAAGGCGACUGACUGGACAUGUAUUGACGCUGAGGUACGAAAGCGUGGGGAGCAAACAGGAUUAGAUACCCUGGUAGUCCACGCCGUAAACGAUGAUAACUAGUUGUUCGGGCACAACGUGCUUGAGUGACGCAGCUAACGCAUUAAGUUAUCCGCCUGGGGAGUACGGUCGCAAGAUUAAA